UACGGAGGGAGCUAGCGUUGUUCGGAAUUACUGGGCGUAAAGCGCGCGUAGGCGGCUUUUUAAGUCAGAGGUGAAAGCCCGGGGCUCAACCCCGGAAUUGCCUUUGAAACUGGAAAGCUAGAAUCUUGGAGAGGUCAGUGGAAUUCCGAGUGUAGAGGUGAAAUUCGUAGAUAUUCGGAAGAACACCAGUGGCGAAGGCGACUGACUGGACAAGUAUUGACGCUGAGGUGCGAAAGCGUGGGGAGCAAACAGGAUUAGAUACCCUUGUAGUCCACGCCGUAAACGAUGAUAACUAGCUGUCCGGGUGCAUGGCACUUGGGUGGCGCAGCUAACGCAUUAAGUUAUCCGCCUGGGGAGUACGGUCGCAAGAUUAAA
This 375-nucleotide ribosomal RNA is filed under the name uncultured bacterium. RNAcentral describes it as "bacterial SSU rRNA". It matches the Rfam family "Bacterial small subunit ribosomal RNA", at positions 524 to 898 of the family's 1533-position model. The record is from RNAcentral.